UAACUUCAGUAAUUACGAUCAAGACACUCAGACUGUUGCAACCAAGUAUCAAGGGACGUAAUUAUUGUUGCUGACAGUGCCAGCUAUGGUCUUCCAGUUACACUGAAACCGGACUGUGUGUGAAGUAACAAACAGGAUAGAAACAGAUUUCCAUCAAACAGACUCACACAAAUAAUGAAGAAAUAUUGGAGAAAUAUUUGAGAAGUUUUAUACCGAUGCUGCAGACUGUGGAAAGGAGACAGACUCCAAUUAAACUGCAACUUGGCAUUAGAAUAGUGAAGGAAUCAGAAAACCAAAGCGAUUGCAUCCAUCUCUGCAAGAAUGCAACCAGCCAAAGGAAAUGGCAGCAGUCAAUGACCAUGAGAUCAAGGAAAUCAACAAAGGUCUGCUAGACUCCUGAGUCAAUACCCUGGCAUUUCAGCUGUGGAAGAUCACAGAGCGGAUUUCAUCUUGUGAAGAUGUCAUUCAAUUGACCGUUUAACACCGUAGGUUAACACUCAUUAAAGUCUGUGAAUAUUCGCAUCAUCUUACACAAUUGCAUUGCGGGAAUUAAAAAAAAAAUC
Long non-coding RNA from Brienomyrus brachyistius, 563 nucleotides. RefSeq lists it as uncharacterized. NCBI's taxonomy places the organism in Eukaryota, Metazoa, Chordata, Actinopteri, Osteoglossiformes, Mormyridae. The record is from RefSeq and is a predicted model, not a curated record. The transcript is spliced from 3 exons.